UAUUGCAUAAUAUUAUGUUAGAGCAUAAUAAUAAUAAAAAUUUCCGUUAAUUAAAUAUGAUACCGAAUUUUUUUAUUGGGAUAAGUGAGAUUUGCUAUAAUCGGAUGGUCUAGAUUAAAAACACGCGAUUUCGAUUAUCAGGUUAACACAUAUGUUUAGUUGAUUGUAUUCAAGAUUUUAGUGUUGCCCAAUUUUAAAUCAGAUUUCAAACUCUCACCAAGCCCAAUUAUUUAUUUUAUUUUUUAUUUUAUUUUAAUAGAAAUAUAUGCAUGCUCAGACAAAAUAAACAUAAAACAUCCAAAUUUCAAUACAUAAUCCGUUGUAUCAAAAGAUAACUAAAAAUCAGGGCCACUAAACUAUUAAAAUUACCAAAAUAUUCUUAGAUUCAAAUCUCAACUAACAUAACCUAAAUUCUCAACAAGUUCUACAAAUCCUUUAUUAUUCUUCUUCUUUUCUCCUCUUUCAUCUCUUUUUUCUCUUACUUCUCUAACUUUUACUUAGUUUCUAUCUCUUUCUCUUUCUCCUUAUUUUCGUCCACCUCAUCAAGGAUAUCCCAAUACUUCUUUAGUUCUUUAAGACAAUUGGCGGUUCCUUCUUCUCGUCAAUUUUUUUUUUUUUUUUAAAACAACAUUAGCUUAAUUGCAUUAUAGUCGACCACUAUAACACAUUUUACUUCUCCAAUCUGAAAUGAGAAACACGUUUUAUUACGCAAAUCUUCUCUAGAUUCCUUUCUCCAGGAACUUAAUCUGCCACCAAAAUAAAAUAAAUAAAAUCUAAUCUGUAACCAAAAUGAAAUUAUAUAUUGGUUUGAGUUUAAGAGAGAGUUUGAGUUUAGAUUUUAUAAUUAAACGAAGUUAAAUAUUGGUUUGAAUUUAUAUACUGAUCUAAAUUUUAACUAAACGAAGAAAAUGUUGGUUUGAGUUUAGAAAGAACGGUUAGAGUUUAGAUUUACGAUUAAAGGAAGUUAAAUAUUGGUUUGGGUUCACGAAGGAGAAUUAAUGUUUAGAUUUUAUUAUUAAACGAAGUUAAAUAUCGGUUUAAAUUUAUAAACAUGUUUAAAUUUUACAAUUAAACAAAGUUGUAUAUCAGUUUGAGUUUACAAAAACAUUUAAGAUUUAGAUUUUACAAUUAAAUUAUGUUAUCAAGAUUGCGGCCUUUUAGAAUUUCCAUUUUUUGGAGAUUGGUUAUCUUGGAGAGGUUGGCGAGAUAAGAAACCAAUACGAUGUCGGUUAGAUAGGGCCUUAGCAAAUGAAGAAUGGCAUGAUUUAUUCAGUAAUUCUUUCAUUGAAUAUCUAACUAUGUUAGCUUCAGAUCAUUCUCCGGUGAUUGCAACGAUUGCGGAUAAGAUACCACGUGGGAAACAAAAUUUUCGGUUUGAUAAAAGAUGGAUUGGCAAAGAUGGGUUAUUAGAGGCGAUUUCACAAGGUUGGAAUCUAGAUUCUGGGUUUAGAGAGGGACAAUUUGUUGAGAAAUUAACAAAUUGUAGGCGGGCAAUUUCAAAAUGGCGAAAAAGCUUAAUUCCUUUUGGGCGCCAAACAAUUGAGGAUCUAAAGGCCGAAUUAGAUGUGGCUCAAAGGGAUGAUGACAGGUCUCGAGAGGAAAUCACUGAAUUAACAUUACGAUUAAAGGAAGCUUAUCGUGAUGAAGAACAAUAUUGGUAUCAAAAGAGUAGAAGUCUAUGGAUGAAACUAGGGGAUAAUAAUUCAAAGU
RNAcentral lists this small RNA (1710 nucleotides) under Arabidopsis thaliana (thale cress). RNAcentral's name for it is "ATSL047940". Lineage: Eukaryota; Viridiplantae; Streptophyta; Magnoliopsida; Brassicales; Brassicaceae. The record is from RNAcentral.